Molecule: ribosomal RNA, 497 nt
Filed under: uncultured bacterium
Lineage: Bacteria
Description: partial 16S ribosomal RNA
Rfam family: Bacterial small subunit ribosomal RNA
Source: RNAcentral
GAUGAACGCUGGCGGCGUGCCUAAUACAUGCAAGUCGAGCGAACGGACGAGAAGCUUGCUUUUCUGAUGUUAGCGGCGGACGGGUGAGUAACACGUGGAUAACCUACCUAUAAGACUGGGAUAACUUCGGGAAACCGGAUCUAAUACCGGAUAAUAUUUUGAACCGCAUGGUUCAACAGUAAAAGACGGUCUUGCUGUCACUUAUAGAUGGAUCCGCGCUGCAUUAGCUAGUUGGUAAGGUAACGGCUUACCAAGGCAACGAUGCAUAGCCGACCUGAGAGGGUGAUCGGCCACACUGGAACUGAGACACGGUCCAGACUCCUACGGGAGGCAGCAGUAGGGAAUCUUCCGCAAUGGGCGAAAGCCUGGCGGAGCAACGCCGCGUGAGUGAUGAAGGUCUUCGGAUCGUAAAACUCUGUUAUUAGGGAAGAACAUAUGUGUAAGUAACUGUGCACAUCUUGACGGUACCUAAUCAGAAAGCCACGGCUAACUACGUG